GCCUGAUGCAGCAACGCCGCGUGAGGGACGACGGCCUUCGGGUUGUAAACCUCUUUUAGCAGGGAAGAAGCGAAAGUGACGGUACCUGCAGAAAAAGCACCGGCUAACUACGUGCCAGCAGCCGCGGUAAUACGUAGGGUGCAAGCGUUAUCCGGAAUUAUUGGGCGUAAAGAGCUCGUAGGCGGUUUGUCGCGUCUGCUGUGAAAACCCGAGGCUCAACCUCGGGCCUGCAGUGGGUACGGGCAGACUAGAGUGCGGUAGGGGAGAUUGGAAUUCCUGGUGUAGCGGUGGAAUGCGCAGAUAUCAGGAGGAACACCGAUGGCGAAGGCAGAUCUCUGGGCCGUAACUGACGCUGAGGAGCGAAAGGGUGGGGAGCAAACAGGCUUAGAUACCCUGGUAGUCCACCCCGUAAACGUUGGGAACUAGUUGUGGGGUCCAUUCCACGGAUUCCGUGACGCAGCUAACGCAUUAAGUUCCCCGCCUGGGGAGUACGGCCGCAAGGCUAAAACUCAAAGGAAUUGACGGGGACCCGCACAAGCGGCGGAGCAUGCGGAUUAAUUCGAUGCAACGCGAAGAACCUUACCAAGGCUUGACAUAUACGAGAACGCUGCAGAAAUGUAGAACUCUUUGGACACUCGU
RNAcentral lists this ribosomal RNA (639 nucleotides) under Microbacterium sp. So3Ps_1905. Its description in RNAcentral is "bacterial SSU rRNA". It matches the Rfam family "Bacterial small subunit ribosomal RNA", at positions 381 to 1031 of the family's 1533-position model. Lineage: Bacteria; Bacillati; Actinomycetota; Actinomycetes; Micrococcales; Microbacteriaceae. The record is from RNAcentral.